RNAcentral lists this ribosomal RNA (253 nucleotides) under uncultured bacterium. RNAcentral's name for it is "partial 16S ribosomal RNA". It matches the Rfam family "Bacterial small subunit ribosomal RNA", at positions 524 to 776 of the family's 1533-position model. The record is from RNAcentral.
UACGGGGGGGGCAAGCGUUGUUCGGAAUUACUGGGCGUAAAGGGCUCGUACGUGGCCAACUAAGUCAGACGUGAAAUCCCCAGGCUCAACUUGGGAACUGCGUCUGAUACUGGAUGGCUUGAAUUCGGGAGAGGGAUGCAGAAUUCCAGGUGUAGCGGUGAAAUGCGUAGAUAUCUGGAGGAAUACCGGUGGCGAAGGCGGCAUCCUGGACCGAGAUUGACACUGAUGAGCGAAAGCUAGGGGAGCAAACGGG